GGUAGCGCCUCGUGAAUUCAUCUCCGGGGGUAGAGCACUGUUUCGGCUAGGGGGCCAUCCCGGCUUACCAACCCGAUGCAAACUGCGAAUACCGGAGAAUGUUAUCACGGGAGACACACGGCGGGUGCUAACGUCCGUCGUGAAGAGGGAAACAACCCAGACCGCCAGCUAAGGUCCCAAAGUCAUGGUUAAGUGGGAAACGAUGUGGGAAGGCCCAGACAGCCAGGAUGUUGGCUUAGAAGCAGCCAUCAUUUAAAGAAAGCGUAAUAGCUCACUGGUCGAGUCGGCCUGCGCGGAAGAUGUAACGGGGCUAAACCAUGCACCGAAGCUGCGGCAGCGACACUGUGUGUUGUUGGGUAGGGGAGCGUUCUGUAAGCCUGUGAAGGUGUGUCGUGAGGCAUGCUGGAGGUAUCAGAAGUGCGAAUGCUGACAUAAGUAACGAUAAAGCGGGUGAAAAGCCCGCUCGCCGGAAGACCAAGGGUUCCUGUCCAACGUUAAUCGGGGCAGGGUGAGUCGACCCCUAAGGCGAGGCCGAAAGGCGUAGUCGAUGGGAAACGGGUUAAUAUUCCCGUACUUGGUGUUACUGCGAAGGGGGGACGGAGAAGGCUAUGUUGGCCGGGCGACGGUUGUCCCGGUUUAAGCGUGUAGGUGUGUGUUCCAGGUAAAUCCGGUUCACUUUAACACUGAGGCGUGACGACGAGGCACUACGGUGCUGAAGCAACAAAUGCCCUGCUUCCAGGAAAAGCCUCUAAGCAUCAGGUAACAUCAAAUCGUACCCCAAACCGACACAGGUGGUCAGGUAGAGAAUACCAAGGCGCUUGAGAGAACUCGGGUGAAGGAACUAGGCAAAAUGGUGCCGUAACUUCGGGAGAAGGCACGCUGACACGUAGGUGAAGUGAUUUACUCAUGGAGCUGAAGUCAGUCGAAGAUACCAGCUGGCUGCAACUGUUUAUUAAAAACACAGCACUGUGCAAACACGAAAGUGGACGUAUACGGUGUGACGCCUGCCCGGUGCCGGAAGGUUAAUUGAUGGGGUCAGCGCAAGCGAAGCUCCUGAUCGAAGCCCCGGUAAACGGCGGCCGUAACUAUAACGGUCCUAAGGUAGCGAAAUUCCUUGUCGGGUAAGUUCCGACCUGCACGAAUGGCGUAAUGAUGGCCAGGCUGUCUCCACCCGAGACUCAGUGAAAUUGAACUCGCUGUGAAGAUGCAGUGUACCCGCGGCAAGACGGAAAGACCCCGUGAACCUUUACUAUAGCUUGACACUGAACAUUGAGCCUUGAUGUGUAGGAUAGGUGGGAGGCUUUGAAGUGUGGACGCCAGUCUGCAUGGAGCCGACCUUGAAAUACCACCCUUUAAUGUUUGAUGUUCUAACGUGGACCCGUUACCCGGGUUGCGGACAGUGUCUGGUGGGUAGUUUGACUGGGGCGGUCUCCUCCUAAAGAGUAACGGAGGAGCACGAAGGUUGGCUAAUCCUGGUCGGACAUCAGGAGGUUAGUGCAAUGGCAUAAGCCAGCUUGACUGCGAGCGUGACGGCGCGAGCAGGUGCGAAAGCAGGUCAUAGUGAUCCGGUGGUUCUGAAUGGAAGGGCCAUCGCUCAACGGAUAAAAGGUACUCCGGGGAUAACAGGCUGAUACCGCCCAAGAGUUCAUAUCGACGGCGGUGUUUGGCACCUCGAUGUCGGCUCAUCACAUCCUGGGGCUGAAGUAGGUCCCAAGGGUAUGGCUGUUCGCCAUUUAAAGUGGUACGCGAGCUGGGUUUAGAACGUCGUGAGACAGUUCGGUCCCUAUCUGCCGUGGGCGCUGGAGAACUGAGGGGGGCUGCUCCUAGUACGAGAGGACCGGAGUGGACGCAUCACUGGUGUUCGGGUUGUCAUGCCAAUGGCACUGCCCGGUAGCUAAAUGCGGAAGAGAUAAGUGCUGAAAGCAUCUAAGCACGAAACUUGCCCCGA
RNAcentral lists this ribosomal RNA (1948 nucleotides) under Salmonella enterica. Its description in RNAcentral is "partial 23S ribosomal RNA". It matches the Rfam family "Bacterial large subunit ribosomal RNA", at positions 873 to 2802 of the family's 2925-position model. RNAcentral also lists the same sequence under 1 other name. The record is from RNAcentral. Lineage: Bacteria; Pseudomonadati; Pseudomonadota; Gammaproteobacteria; Enterobacterales; Enterobacteriaceae.